Molecule: long non-coding RNA, 578 nt
Organism: Esox lucius (northern pike)
Lineage: Eukaryota; Metazoa; Chordata; Actinopteri; Esociformes; Esocidae
Source: Ensembl
GCACCAGUAUGGACUCCUGUGGAGCAACUUGAACAACAGUUCUGUUAACUUUUUUUUGUUCAUGCUAGCACCUAUGGUUAUACUGGCUCAUCGUAGAAACUGUCGUCCUUCUUUCAAAAGUGACUAUGGAUCAAGAUAGUGGUUGCAGGAGGCAAUUAAGUGUAUGGUGAUUAAGGUGUUCCACGCCUGUGGCUCAAAGGGGGAGUUUGCUACUGGCCACCACACAGCAUCACCAGCACGAAGUCCUUCAGCCACGACAAGUUUGCCAGAACCUGUUCAACACCUGAAGACACCUGGGAGGGUAUAUCUUAUAAGCUCAUCAAGCAUGCAGACACGUGAGAGACCGAUGUGUGUAUUGCCAGAGGAGCGAAACAUUUUCCAGCGUGGGCCCCUACCACCCCAAGAACGUACAUCCACACCACAACACCCUGUGGAUUGCGGCCCUGGAGGAUGGAGCAAGCACAGUACUCCAAGUCACCAGAGAGGUACUCCACGCCACCAUGUAGAGGACUGCUACAUAGAUAUUCAGGACUGUCUUUGGAGAAGAUCAAGCGGCUGAGAGAAGAGAAGGUCGAGCU